GAUGAACGCUGGCGGCGUGCCUAAUACAUGCAAGUCGAGCGAACGGACGAGAAGCUUGCUUCUCUGAUGUUAGCGGCGGACGGGUGAGUAACACGUGGAUAACCUACCUAUAAGACUGGGAUAACUUCGGGAAACCGGAGCUAAUACCGGAUAAUAUUUUGAACCGCAUGGUUCAAAAGUGAAAGACGGUCUUGCUGUCACUUAUAGAUGGAUCCGCGCUGCAUUAGCUAGUUGGUAAGGUAACGGCUUACCAAGGCAACGAUGCAUAGCCGACCUGAGAGGGUGAUCGGCCACACUGGAACUGAGACACGGUCCAGACUCCUACGGGAGGCAGCAGUAGGGAAUCUUCCGCAAUGGGCGAAAGCCUGACGGAGCAACGCCGCGUGAGUGAUGAAGGUCUUCGGACCGUAAAACUCUGUUAUUAGGGAAGAACAUAUGUGUAAGUAACUGUGCACAUCUUGACGGUACCUAAUCAGAAAGCCACGGCUAACUACGU
This 496-nucleotide ribosomal RNA is filed under the name uncultured bacterium. RNAcentral's name for it is "partial 16S ribosomal RNA". It matches the Rfam family "Bacterial small subunit ribosomal RNA", at positions 28 to 506 of the family's 1533-position model. The record is from RNAcentral.